GACUUUUUUGUUAUUAAUGGAGUGAAUUGGGGAAUUUGGGUUUAAAUGAAAGGGGGGGGGUGGAGAACUAGGAUGGACUAAAUUGGACGGAGGAUUCGAAAAGGCGAGGUAGAAGGGGCUUUAAAUUCGCAUUUCUACACGGAAACGUAAUGAAGAAAACUGGAAAAUGAAACAUUUUAGUACCAGAGUGGCACAAAGAAAUCAAACGAGAUUUCGCAAGUAGCGGUGAGCGAAAGUGGAAUAGUUCAAUGGUCUGUUGGAGGGCGAGUAAAUAGUGGAAGAGAGGUGCUCACAUAUCUAAGACUAAAUGUUAGUUCCAUACCGAAAGAGAGGGAGUACUGUAAAGGAAAGUUGAAAGAGACUUGAAAAGAUCUUGAAAUCAGUCCUUUAAAGCAGCUGUAAUACAGUGUACCUUUUGUAUAAUGGGUUUAUGAGACAUCGUUUGGCAAAUUUAAGUUCGGAUCCUAAAAAAGUAUCAGACAGCAUUGAGAUUGUUGUCCCGGCCUUGGGGGGGACGGUAUAGGUGAAGAGAAUGGAGGUAAAGAGAAAUCGAGGGUGCUCUCUUUAGUCAAAUUGCCCGAAACUAAGUGAUCUAACCAUGGGCAGUUUUAAGGAACGAACUGGUGGUUGUAGCAAAAACCUCGGAGGACCUAUGGUUGGGGGGGAAAGCCUAAUCGAACUUGGAGAUAGCUGGUUUUCUGCGAAAACUAUUGAAGUAGUGCGUUCACAACUCGGGGUUGGAGUUAAAAGAGUUUUUAUGGUAAAGUUGGAUCGCCCGAAAGGGGGGGAGAGACCAUGGAUGUAAAAAUCAAAGUGGACAGGCAGACAGUGGGCGAGAAAGUGCAUUGUCAAAAGGGGGAGCCCUAAUCAGAAGUUAAAGUCAUAAAUCGAUUGGAGAGGUCUCCAAAUAGUUAAGUGUAAAAGGAGUAUGGGAUUUAAACAAUGAGGAAGUAGGCUUGGGGCCAGCCAUCUUUGAAAGAGGGCGUAGUAGUUCACUCGAGAAUUUUUUUUUCCUUAAAAUUAGGGUGACUAAAAUUGAACUGAAAUUCUGAGGGCGAAGUUUGCUUGGUAGUAGAACGGACUGUUAGAUGGUUUAGUGAGAGCCCAAGCAUCAGAAGAGAUAAUGUGAACAUGAGUAAAUAAUUGUUGAACUACUUCUCCAGGUUACCAAGCCCCAAAUUGCAUUCUAGUCUUUUACAGCUCCUCUAUUAAACCCGGCUGUUUUACUAAGCUUUAGUGCUACAGGUGAGGUUAUUAGGAGGGGGGUAUUGUGGUAAUGUUUUGGGGUUUGGGUAAUACAGCCCUUAAGGUGGCGGCCGAAGGUCGCUUCGAUGGGAGAUAGUAAUAAACGCACAAAGUGUCAGGAAAGAAUUAUUAAAAGUUGGUACUGUUGUGGACUAACACAAGUGGGAGAUAGUGGAGGGGAAAGUUUUUUUAAGGAACUCGGCAAAUUUUUGGCUUCCAUUAGGGAGUUUUAUAAUACAAGGCCUCGACUGUUUACCAAAAACAUAGCCCUUUGCUAAUAUGAAAGUAGAAGUAUGGAGGGUGAGACCUGCCCAAUGGUUGUAUCUGAAGGGGUCGAUGGGGUCGAUUAUAUAAAGAUAAUUGAAUGGCUGCGGUAACAGUGACCGUGAAAAUGUAGCGUAAUCAAUAGUCAAUUAAUUGUUGGCCGGUAUGAAUGGUGUCACGAAGGUCUCACUGUCUUAAGAAAAUCCCCUGUGAAAUUGAAUUUGUAGUGAAGAUGCUACAUUCAAAUUGUUAGACGAAAAGUCCCCAUGGAACUUUACUGGAGACUUAUGUGGCCUAUUCUGACAAAUAAAUAGUUAAGACUAUGUGGUGUAAAGAAACUUAAGUAAAAAAAUACAUAUGAGUUUAAAUUUAAGUUAGUAAAACUCACUCUUUUAUUUUUGGAGGGCUAACUCUUCUUUCGAAUUAAGUUAGAGAAAUGAGGUAAGUUAGACAGUUUGGUUGGGGCGAUCGCCUUUUAAAAAGUAACGAAGGUGGGCUUAAGAUACAGAUUUAAUAGUUGUCGUCUGACUGUGAAGGGGGGGCCCUGAGCAGACACUAAAAAGAGCUUUGCGCGGGUAAUAGUGGGUUGCAGUGACCCGUUGAUUUAAGGUGAAAUAGUCAACGAUAAACAAAUAAAAGUUACCCUGGGGAUAACAGCGCAAUAACGUUAGAGGGGUUUUCUUGAUGACGAUGUUUGCGACCUCGAUGUUGAAUUGCGGCAUCCUGGGGUGCAGUCGCUCCCAAGGGUGGGUCUGUUCGUCCAUUAAAGCCGUACAUGAUUUGAGUUAAAAGCGUGGUAACACAGCUUGGUUUCUAUCUACAAUUUGAAUAAACAUUGAUAUAACUGUUUUCUAGUACGAAAGGAUCGAAAAAUUAGUGGUUUUCUUAUUUUUAUAAGUUACGAUCAAUCUAUUGGCUUCGAUAAUUUUUGAAGAUGCCUUUUCGUUAAUCGCUGAUCGCUUCUAAAGUGUGAAAAUUAUAUUAAGUUGUUUGAAGUUCUGUGGCGGAGUUGGCUCUUGUUCAAUAUGGGC
Molecule: ribosomal RNA, 2540 nt
Filed under: Pseudocorynactis sp. SIO
Lineage: Eukaryota; Metazoa; Cnidaria; Anthozoa; Corallimorpharia; Corallimorphidae
Description: LSU rRNA
Rfam family: Bacterial large subunit ribosomal RNA
Source: RNAcentral